UUGCACGCUGGCGGCAGGCCUAACACAUGCAAGUCGAACGGUAACAGGAAGAAGCUUGCUUCUUUGCUGACGAGUGGCGGACGGGUGAGUAAUGUCUGGGAAACUGCCUGAUGGAGGGGGAUAACUACUGGAAACGGUAGCUAAUACCGCAUAACGUCGCAAGGCCAAAGAGGGGGACCUUCGGGCCUCUUGCCAUCGGAUGUGCCCAGAUGGGAUUAGCUAGUAGGUGGGGUAACGGCUCACCUAGGCGACGAUCCCUAGCUGGUCUGAGAGGAUGACCAGCCACACUGGAACUGAGACACGGUCCAGACUCCUACGGGAGGCAGCAGUGGGGAAUAUUGCACAAUGGGCGCAAGCCUGAUGCAGCCAUGCCGCGUGUAUGAAGAAGGCCUUCGGGUUGUAAAGUACUUUCAGCGGGGAGGAAGGGAGUAAAGUUAAUACCUUUGCUCAUUGACGUUACCCGCAGAAGAAGCACCGGCUAACUCCGUG
RNAcentral lists this ribosomal RNA (489 nucleotides) under uncultured bacterium. RNAcentral describes it as "partial 16S ribosomal RNA". It matches the Rfam family "Bacterial small subunit ribosomal RNA", at positions 30 to 507 of the family's 1533-position model. The record is from RNAcentral.